AAGACUCGAGAAUAAUCAUCUUUGGCUCAGUGGUUUGUCCUCCAGGCCCAUUGGGGUGGCAGUCUCACCCACGUGGCUUUGAGACAGUGGCCCCACCUCACCUCAUCUCUGCAGCACAGCCUGGCUACUGACACCAAGGAAGUGGGCCCACCCUAUGAAACUAAGAAGAAAGAAGCCUUGUACACAUGGGCUUGUGGAUGCUGCAGUCUGAAAAGAGUAGAAAAGAAUAACUUUACAUUGGAGAAGCCUAACAAGCACUACUUCAGCCAGGUGAUCAAAGUUGACAUCAAUCGUGAUAAGUCAUACUUUGAAAAUAGCAGCUUCUGAAAACAGAGGAACAGUACUCUGACCUAUUUAUUGAAUGACAAAGAAGCCUAGCUUCGACUGGAGCCCAGAAGAGGAAUUGUUGUCAGAUACCACCCUAAAAGCUUUGUGAUGGACUGAACUCAAGUGUAACCUCGUGGUGCUAACUAUGAACAGAAUCAAGAGACUCUUAUACCUUCCCUCACAUCUUUCUGGCUGCCCUGCUUUCAUUCCAGCCAUUCUGGGGCAACCAGCACAGAGCAGAUACAACCUGACAGCGCCUUGACCCAGCUACACCUCCUGCCUCUUGCUUUCUCACUCAGACCUCUCUAAGUAA
Molecule: long non-coding RNA, 640 nt
Organism: Herpailurus yagouaroundi (jaguarundi)
Lineage: Eukaryota; Metazoa; Chordata; Mammalia; Carnivora; Felidae
Exons: 4
Source: RefSeq, a predicted model, not a curated record